GAUGAACGCUGGCGGCGUGCCUAAUACAUGCAAGUCGAGCGAACAGACGAGGAGCUUGCUCCUCUGACGUUAGCGGCGGACGGGUGAGUAACACGUGGAUAACCUACCUAUAAGACUGGGAUAACUUCGGGAAACCGGAGCUAAUACCGGAUAAUAUAUUGAACCGCAUGGUUCAAUAGUGAAAGACGGUUUUGCUGUCACUUAUACAUGGAUCCGCGCCGCAUUAGCGAGUUGGUAAGGUAACGGCUUACCAAGGCAACGAUGCGUAGCCGACCUGAGAGGGUGAUCGGCCACACUGGAACUGAGACACGGUCAAGACUCCUACGGGAGGCAGCAGUGGGGAAUAUUCCGCAAUGGGCGAAAGCAUGACGGAGAAACGCCGCGUGAGUGAUGAAGGUCUUCGGAUCGUAAAACUCUGUUAUUAGGGAAGAACAAAUGUGUAAGUAACUAUGCACGUCUUGACGGUACCUAAUCAGAAAGCCACGGCUAACUACGUG
Molecule: ribosomal RNA, 497 nt
Filed under: uncultured bacterium
Lineage: Bacteria
Description: partial 16S ribosomal RNA
Rfam family: Bacterial small subunit ribosomal RNA
Source: RNAcentral